Molecule: ribosomal RNA, 481 nt
Filed under: uncultured bacterium
Lineage: Bacteria
Description: bacterial SSU rRNA
Rfam family: Bacterial small subunit ribosomal RNA
Source: RNAcentral
AUUGAACGCUGGCGGAAUGCUUUACACAUGCAAGUCGAACGGUAGAGGGGGCAACCCUUGAGAGUGGCGAACGGGUGAGUAAUAUAUCGGAACGUGCCCAGUCGUGGGGGAUAACGUAGCGAAAGUUACGCUAAUACCGCAUACGAUCUAAGGAUGAAAGCGGGGGACUCGCAAGAGCCUCGCGCGAUUGGAGCGGCCGAUAUCAGAUUAGGUAGUUGGUGGGGUAAAGGCUCACCAAGCCAACGAUCUGUAGCUGGUCUGAGAGGACGACCAGCCACACUGGAACUGAGACACGGUCCAGACUCCUACGGGAGGCAGCAGUGGGGAAUUUUGGACAAUGGGCGCAAGCCUGAUCCAGCAAUGCCGCGUGCAGGAAGAAGGCCUUCGGGUUGUAAACUGCUUUUGUACGGAGCGAAAAGGUCUUCCCUAAUACGGGAGGCUGAUGACGGUACCGUAAGAAUAAGCACCGGCUAACUACGUG